GACCUGUGAGGGCCCUAAUCCAAAUUAUAACCUGAGUGAAAAUUGUGCCUCAAAGGUCAAGAGGGUGACGCAAUUUUUAAACUACAUGGCGAAGAAUGAGACCUACCAGUCCUCUCUCAUUUUCCUGACAGACCAUGACAAAAUAAGGAAAUGGGUUCAAUUCCUCCAGAAGAACAAGGCAAUCACCACAGUCAACCACUACACCUUGACUAUUGGUGCAUUUCUUAAAUAUUCUGAGGAGACCCCUCCAUCUGGCUGCCGGCUGACCGUGAACCAAUGGAGGGGGAUCAACCGGUUGAUGAAGGGCAUUAGCAAGUCCAUGAGACGACCAGUUUCCCUUCACCAGAUAAAGGUGAAGGACAACAAGGAAGGCAAGGUGGUGUCCAAAAAGAGCCUGCUGCAGUGCCAGUCUCUUGCCAAGGCCAAAAUCCCUCAAGUGCUGAGUAAGUUUUUCUCAAUCUGUGAUGUCACUGUUUUUACACACUUAUAGACGUCAGAGAUGUAUAGAAUGCAUUAUGGAGUGGGAUUAUGAAGCUGCCUUUUUUUAUUUUCAUGUUCACAGAAACAUUGGAAGAAACAAGGACACAGAGGAAUCAGUACAGGUUUUAUGGGUACCUGUGUGCCUACUUUACAUCCAUAUACGGCCACAGACCAGGCCUAUAUAAAAACAUGUUGGUGAAAGAGGUGGAGGAGGCAAAAUGUGACCAGUCUGGGGUGUACCUGAUCAAUGUAAGUCUAUGAAAUACAGCUGGCUGUGUUUAUUUGUUUGUUUGCUUGGUUGGUUAUCUUUGGAAACAAUUGCAGUCGCAGGAGCGUAAUGUGUUUUUUUGUGUUUUUUCUCUGUUCAAUUUCUAUUAGGUGGGGGAACACAAAACAAAUCGGGAGUACGGCAUGGUCCAGAUGUCGCUGACAAAGGAGGAGUACAGCUGGUUUUCCGACUUCCUCAAAUUCAAGCACUGUCUCUUAGGGGGAAAGAAGGCCCAGCACUUCUUUUUCAAUUCAACAAACACUCAGAUGAAGAACCUGCCUGCCUACCUGAGGGAGGUGUGGAAGGAGAUGGGUCUGCCCGAAUGUCCUUCAUUCACUGACCUGAGGACCUCCAUUGUCACUCAUGUAGGUCAGAUUAGAUAGGAAUCUAAUUAAUGUAAGAUCCUAUUCUAUUGUUGUCUGAAGUAAUAUCAAUAAUAUCAUAUAUUUGUGUGUGUGUGUGUGUGUGUGUGUCUUACAGGUAAAAAACAUGCUCCCAAAGGUUGACAGGGAAAGGGUGGCCAACUUCAUGUGCCACAACAUCCAGACGGCAGACAAAUAUUAUGCCAUGAAUUUAAAUCCAACCCAAGCAAAUGAAACCAGGGCACUCUUUGAGGCUGCACUGAAGGGGGAAGAUAACACAGUCGCCGCAGAGAACCAGCCCUCCACCUCAGGAGAAAGAAAGCAGAAGGUGAGAGAGGAUGCCUCCCUCUCCGACGGGAGCACCACCCCUGAAGAGACCAAGGUGAUGUACCAGGAGUCUGGCACGUCCGCCGGUGACUCGGAAGAGGAGGAAGAGGAUGAAGAUGAGGAACAGAUGGCCAGACAACUUCCAGUAAGAUCAGCUAUUCUGACAGGACACAUUUGAUUAUCAAAAUGUACUUGUAAACUAUGUAACAGUCAAGUGUGAAUUCUGAGAUAUAUCUAAUUUCUUGUGUUUGCUCUGUCAGGAGACACCUUCCAAGGUGACCAAUCCUCAGGUGGAGAUGGAACUUACCCCAAAGAGGAAGCGGAGCAUCUGCACACGCCGCAUGGAGGUCGCCAUCAGCCCCAUGCUAGUCUCACCCCUCAAAGUGAGGCUCAAGUCGCCCCCCCACCAGUCCCUCAUUGUCACAUUAAAAGGGAUGCAACAACUAAACUCAAAUAAAGUCAGACUAAAAAAUGCCAUUGCCUCAAGGAGGUUAAAGCUGCAGGAGAAGGUGCAAAAGAGAGGAGGGGACCCCUGAUGCAGCUCGAAGGAAGGGGAGCCGACCAACAACAAGACUUCCUCUUCCAAAUAGUCAUGUAGAUUGUUUUAGACUCUCACAUUUAUACUGUUCUGAUUUUGUUUGGUUUGAUUUUCAAUUUUGGUGUGCUUGUUUACAUUUUAGAAGUGUAAAAUGUGUGUAAUUUAGUCUAACUGUCUGUUCAAUUUUCUAUUUUGGUGUGAUUCUUUAUAAUGUAAAGGUUUGUUCUGUUUUAUUAAAUAACUAGUUUAGUAAUUAUUUGUGUUGUGCUUUCUUUAAGGUUAUAUUCUAACUGUCUGUUCAAUUUUCUAUUUUGGUGUGAUUCUUUAUAAUGUAAAGGUUUGUUCUGUUUUAUUAAAUAACUAGUUGAGUAAUUCUUUGUGUUGUGCUUUCUUUAAGGUUUAUAUUUAGUUUGUAACUUAAUUUGUAAGUGUUAAACAUUCACUGUCUUGUGUUGUUGUCUGUGAAGGUAGGAACAAAUAUUUAGGCAUUAUUGGCAUGGGAAUCAUAUGUUUACAUUGGCAAAGCAAAUUAAGUAGAUAAUAAACAAAAGUGAAAUAAACAAUAAAGUCCUGCUGUAGACUGUACUACUGCUGUUCAGGAAGCACAAUUUGAACUAGAAACUUACACAGACAGGCUGAAAUAAACACUAAAAAAUAACAAAUGGCAUCACCGUAAUAUCCCGCUUGACCGUAGCUCGCUCGGUCUGAGCGCAGCGACCAUGAGAAAAGUAAGCCCAAAAUGAAGCCUGCCCCACAACGUCAUUUGCUUUUGGGUGACAGUGAGAGAACCGUUAGGUUUAGAAGGACAAUUCAACCACAGGAAUGUUCCUAACGUCCUUCCGAUCCAUGCAAGCCUUACCUUGACCGUGUGGCAUCAACCCUUAAAAAUAAAACAGGGUUUUUUGAUCUCACAGAUUACAAUGACAUCUCUCCCCAUAGGAAUACAUUGACAGCUCCCCUAAAUUCAACCUGGAGCCUAUGUGGGUUAAUAAUGCCUUAUGAACCUGUCUUCAAUGCCAAUCCAUCAGGCCACUAUGAGGUCUACCUGUGUCGAUUCUAAGCUUCCUGGAGCAACCGGAAGUGGUUAAAUUCACCCAAAAUGUAUUUUGAUGUACAUAACCUGCAAAUGUGAAAAUGACUGCAUUCAACCCUGGGUAGAUCAGUCAAUUCUUAACAUAAAGACUUUAGGAUUCUCAGGAUUCUGUAAGAGAAUACCCAAAGCAAGAUAUUUGUUUACCUAUAGCUUCCUGUGCCAACCGGAAGUGCCUUUAAUUGGUGUCUCAGGGGCUUCUCCUUAGGAGGGAUGGGGACACCACCACGGGACAGACCCCACACUCAUCGCUAGAGAUCGAACUUCAGACUCCCUUCAAAACCACUGAACCCCUCAACACACCGAAAGAGAUUACGGUGCACACCCUUAGAGGGAGCCGGAACAGGAUAACUCCCUCCACCAUCACAGAGACACAGAGGAGGAGGAACUAUCCAACACCCAGGGAGAGAGAACAAGUGACGUCAGUCGAACACAGUCAGAAAGAGGAGGUGGAAGAGGCGUUAGAUAGAGGAGGAUAUUACCCCAGAGGCCAUUCCUCCUGUUCAUGUGAGCAAGAAAGAGCAGAAGGCUUCUGAUCAGCCAAAUGGCAGGCAGAGGGAGAGGUCAUAGUGAUUCACACCCACAGAGAGAAAGACAACCCACACAACCUCUUGGUUGAGAUGAACCACACAGGUAGAGGCAGAGGGCCUUCAGGGCUAGCCAGUCAGCCUGCCUGCUCUGAUCCUCAAGUCAAUUGUAUAUAAAUUCAUGUUCAUUAAAGAUUUUUAUUCAAGAAUUGACAAGUCCCAUUUCGUUAAAGGGGUCACCCUUUUCCUGCUACAAACACAACUUGCAUAUCAUCACAGACUAGGCCAAAACGUUAAUCUUUUAACCUUGCCUGAAUAAAACAAUGCAUUUUUUAUAGUGAGCAAGAGUUGCUCCUUUUCCUUUUCUAUGAUGAUUCAAAUAUUUGGUUGCACCUCAACUGAACGUUGGUUGAGGG
Long non-coding RNA from Oncorhynchus mykiss (rainbow trout), 4008 nucleotides. The record is from Ensembl. Lineage: Eukaryota; Metazoa; Chordata; Actinopteri; Salmoniformes; Salmonidae.